AUUAAUAAGCGGAGGAAAAGAAACCAACCGGGAUUCCCCCAGUAAGGGCGACUGAAAGGGGACCAGCCCAGCGCAUAACCUCGCGGUCUGCUACGGCCGUCGAGGGGUGUUGCGUUUUGGUGGAUCCGUACCGCUCGAGCUGCUGACCGCCUAAGUCAUUGCUUGAAUGCAGCCCCGAGGAGGGUGGUAGGCCCGUGUGGCGGCGCCUGUAAAAAGGUUUUAGGCAGCUUGGGCGGAGGGGUCUUUACCGUAGAGUCGGGUUGCUUAGUACUGCAGCCCUAAGUAGGUGGUAAACUCCAUCUAAGGCUAAAUACUACCACGAGUCCGAUAUUGGACAAGUACCGUGAGGGAAAGCUGAAAAGGACUCUGAAGAGAGAGUUCAAGAGGACGUGAAACCAUUAGAAGCUCAAACGGGUGGAACCGUGAAGGUCGAAAGAGGGGAUUCAGCUGGCAGGGGGUGGGCUCUGGCGUCGGUUCAAGUUGCAUUUCAGUGAGAGGACCCGGCCACGAAGUUUGUGGCGGCGGCCCCGGCGUCGGCUAGGCUCCGCUCCCUGCGGGCUUAUUUCUCCCUCGAGUAGAGUGGGUCGCGACCCGCUGUCCGGGCUCCCAGGGCCGUGCGGGACUGGUAGCCCGCGCCUCGGCGCGGGCGAUGACCCGGUGCGGUGCUGACCGGGCUCGGGCGGCGGUCACUGCAAGGAGGCCGCGGAGAGAAGAAUGCGGCCUCUCGCGACGUGAGAGGGAUUGGUAAUCCACCCGA
Molecule: ribosomal RNA, 757 nt
Filed under: Palaemon serratus
Lineage: Eukaryota; Metazoa; Arthropoda; Malacostraca; Decapoda; Palaemonidae
Description: eukaryotic LSU rRNA
Rfam family: Eukaryotic large subunit ribosomal RNA
Source: RNAcentral